CACCGUGCAGAAACUAUAGAUGGCGUUAUAAUCCCGACAGUAGAGACACCGUGCGAGUAAAAAAAGAAACUUUCCAGACCCAUUGGUUGUCACUGUCUAGUCUGUAAAUGUGAUUUUACAAUGAUUAAAAAUAUAAAAUAUAAAAUACAAUGAUUAAAAUUAUAAAAUAUGGUUUUCUACCAAUAAACAAUGAUCGGCAACGUGGUCAAAAUAUAUCAAAAGGCCAAAAGCUAUUCGAGUCGGGCCAUGUUUUUGAUGUCAUAGUAACAGUUGGCCAAGAACAAGAAACAAUAUUAACUGGCAAAAUUGUUGCUCAGACAAAAAUUUCAAAUGUAUAUGAUGUUAAGAUAACACUUGAUUGCAAUAGAAACAUUAAAAGUGCAACUUGUAAUUGCAAGGCAGGUCUAUCAGGACAAUGUAAGCACGUCUGUGCCUUAGUGCAUUACGUAAAUUCUGCAGAAAGUGCAGAAUCGAAAACCAGUUAUGCACAACAAUGGGGCAAACCAACGUACCGACAGUUACUGGGUUAUGAUAAAGGAGUGACAAUGGCAGAGUUAUUUCCAACUCCACCAAUAAGUAUUAAAGUAUUACGUGUGUUUUA
Molecule: long non-coding RNA, 601 nt
Organism: Helicoverpa zea (corn earworm)
Lineage: Eukaryota; Metazoa; Arthropoda; Insecta; Lepidoptera; Noctuidae
Exons: 2
Source: RefSeq, a predicted model, not a curated record